AACGAACGCUGGCGGCAUGCCUAACACAUGCAAGUCGAACGAGACCUUCGGGUCUAGUGGCGCACGGGUGCGUAACGCGUGGGAAUCUGCCCUUCGGUUGGGAAUAACUGAGAGAAAUUUCAGCUAAUACCUUAUAAUGUCUUCGGACCAAAGAUUUAUCGCCGAGGGAUGAGCCCGCGUAGGAUUAGGUAGUUGGUGGGGUAAUGGCCUACCAAGCCGACGAUCCUUAGCUGGUCUGAGAGGAUGAUCAGCCACACUGGGACUGAGACACGGCCCAGACUCCUACGGGAGGCAGCAGUGGGGAAUAUUGGACAAUGGGCGAAAGCCUGAUCCAGCAAUGCCGCGUGAGUGAUGAAGGCCUAGGGUUGUAAAGCUCUUUUACCCGGGAUGAUAAUGACAGUACCGGGAGAAUAAGCUCCGGCUAACUCCGUG
RNAcentral lists this ribosomal RNA (432 nucleotides) under uncultured bacterium. RNAcentral's name for it is "partial 16S ribosomal RNA". It matches the Rfam family "Bacterial small subunit ribosomal RNA", at positions 29 to 507 of the family's 1533-position model. The record is from RNAcentral.